AUUGAACGCUGGCGGCAGGCCUAACACAUGCAAGUCGAGCGGAUGAAGGGAGCUUGCUCCUGGAUUCAGCGGCGGACGGGUGAGUAAUGCCUAGGAAUCUUCCUGGUAGUGGGGGAUAACGUCCGGAAACGGGCGCUAAUACCGCAUACGUCCUGAGGGCGACAGUGGGGGAUCUUCGGACCUCACGCUAUCAGAUGAGCCUAGGUCGGAUUAGCUAGUUGGUUGGGUAAAGGCCUACCAAGGCGACGAUCCGUAACUGGUCUGAGAGGAUGAUCAGGCACACUGGAACUGAGACAAGGUCCAGACUCCUACGGGAGGCAGCAGUGGGGAAUAUUGGACAAUGGGCGAAAGCCUGAUCCAGCCAUGCCGCGUGUGUGAAGAAGGUCUUCGGGUUGUAAAGCACUUUAAGUUGGGAGGAAGGGCAGUAAGUUAAUACCUUGCUGUUUUGACGUUACCAACAGAAUAAGCACCGGCUAACUUCGUG
This 484-nucleotide ribosomal RNA is filed under the name uncultured bacterium. Its description in RNAcentral is "partial 16S ribosomal RNA". It matches the Rfam family "Bacterial small subunit ribosomal RNA", at positions 30 to 507 of the family's 1533-position model. The record is from RNAcentral.